AAUUUUAUAUCAUAAAAUUGUCUCAACUUUUACACUUGUAACAGUAAAGUGACUACAGUGGAUUUCUAUCCAAUAAAGUAUCAAAAAUGGCAUAUUUAGACUAGAUACAUACAGUAAUUUAAAAGAGCCACAUAAGCCUUGGGAAUGUAAAUUCUCUUUUCUGCCUGUGUACAAACGAAAUUUUCUCUCUCCUCUGCCUGUUGGUUUAGCGACGCGCUUGAGCCUUCUCAAUUCAAUUGAUUUGACGUGUUAGUUUUUCCUUGUCAUUUCUUCUUCUUCUUCUUCUUCUUCUCUCUUGUUUCUCUUUGGUCUCUAUCUGGUUUUUCUUUAGCUUGUCAGGCAACGAGAAGGCGAGAUUUUGAUUUAGGUCUAGAUAGAGAGUGAAAUCGAAGGGUGAAGAAGACGCAAAGAGGGAGCUUGGGUAGCGCUUUAAGAAGAACAGUGUAUUUGCACGAUGGCAGCAAACCCACCAAGUGAUAUUAGUGAUAAUGACCCACUAGAUUUUGAUAUUAUAGUGCAUUAUGGUGAGAAAAUGGGUGAAUGGGGAUAAAAUAAUAGGGAAGAGCUAGAAUUAGGGCAUUGUAAUGCACAUAAAAUGAGUCUCGUUUAUAUAGAUAACCUGUUUCAAUUGAAUGGUAUAAAAGGGUUGCUUAGGUAUUAUUGGAAGAACCCUCAUUUAGAUUAUAAUGAUGGGCUUAAGGUACUAGAGAAAGAUAGUGAUGCUUAUGAAAUGGCACUACAUGGGAGUGAUGUUGGCAUAAUUCAUAUGUAUGUGGAACACCUAGCAAUUGAUGACAUAGCAAAUGAGUUCAACAAUGUAGGUAAGGGGGAGGUGUUGUAAUUGAGGAAAUAGCUGAUGAAGCAAAUGAAAACAUACCAAUUAGUGAAACUUCAAGUAGU
This is a non-coding RNA of Jatropha curcas, 900 nucleotides long. Lineage: Eukaryota; Viridiplantae; Streptophyta; Magnoliopsida; Malpighiales; Euphorbiaceae. The record is from RefSeq and is a predicted model, not a curated record.